Molecule: long non-coding RNA, 749 nt
Filed under: Phasianus colchicus (ring-necked pheasant)
Lineage: Eukaryota; Metazoa; Chordata; Aves; Galliformes; Phasianidae
Description: lncRNA (ENSPCLG00000016999.1)
Source: RNAcentral
GAAGCAAUAAAUCAUAUAAUGCAGCCCGUGAAUCUUUCUUCAGGUGUUUCUGCUUGUUGCAGCCCCUUCAUCUGAGCCCCAAGACAGUGAUAGGGUCAGAUUGCUUCUUUAUCUGAGAUAGGAAGGAGCUUGAGGAACGGGCUGUCUUCUCCAAGUCAUAGGCCUCCUUGAAUCCUGUUUAAUAAGAAACAGAAUUAAUUCCAUGAAGCAUAGGAUCCCUUUCAUAGGGAGUACUAGAAACUAGUUUGCCUGUCUGGCUCCUGGCUCCUGCCUGCUGCUAGUUACCAAAGAAAUAACAUUGCUGUUUUUAGCAGAAGCAGAAGCAUUCUCAAUUCCUGACUCAGAGCUUACUACUAGGCUAUUGCAGAACUUCAGGACUGUGAGCAGAAAUGAAAUGGCAGCUUCUACGAAGAAUUGCACCAUAGUAUAACUGUCCCUAUGGUAAUAAGUCAAAAUGGAUGUAAAUGCAAAUCUUCAGAAAAAAAACCAAGAGUGUUUAACUCUCUUUGAUUUCAGUGACACUCAGAUACCUUAAUGCUUUUGAAAGUCUGUGUUUGAUUUUCCUCAUUAAGAAGAAUAGAUCAAGAAUAUUUUCUCCUUUUCUGAAUAACAGGAUACAUGAAAAAUUAAUCCCUGAUAGAUACAAGUUGGCUUUCUGAUUUAUGGACAGAAAGGGUGAUUAAAUCUUUCAGAUAUUUUGUCUGUUUGCUUGUAAAAAUAAUAAAAAAUGACAUUCAUUUAGAUAAUCA